CCUACGGGUGGCAGCAGUGAGGAAUAUUGGUCAAUGGCCGGAAGGCUGAACCAGCCAUGCCGCGUGAAGGUCAGUGCCCUAUGGGCGUUAAACUUCUUUUGUGCGGGAGCAAUAAUGGUCACGUGUGGCCAGACGAGAGUACCGUACGAAUAAGCAUCGGCUAACUCCGUGCCAGCAGCCGCGGUAAUACGGGGGAUGCAAGCGUUAUCCGGAUUUAUUGGGUUUAAAGGGUGCGUAGGCUGGGAGGUAAGUCAGCGGUGAAAUGCCCCCGCUCAACGGGGUGAAGUGCCAUUGAUACUGGCUGGCUGGAAUGCGGAUGCCGUGGGAGGAAUGUGUGGUGUAGCGGUGAAAUGCAUAGAUAUCACACAGAACACCGAUUGCGAAGGCAUCUCACGAAGCCGCGAUUGACGCUGAUGCACGAAAGCGUGGGUAUCAAACAGGAUUAGAUACCCCUGUAGUC
This 460-nucleotide ribosomal RNA is filed under the name uncultured bacterium. Its description in RNAcentral is "partial 16S ribosomal RNA". It matches the Rfam family "Bacterial small subunit ribosomal RNA", at positions 338 to 795 of the family's 1533-position model. The record is from RNAcentral.